RNAcentral lists this transfer RNA (73 nucleotides) under Dreissena polymorpha. It matches the Rfam family "tRNA". Rfam says of the family: Transfer RNA (tRNA) molecules are approximately 80 nucleotides in length. Their secondary structure includes four short double-helical elements and three loops (D, anti-codon, and T loops). Lineage: Eukaryota; Metazoa; Mollusca; Bivalvia; Myida; Dreissenidae. The record is from Rfam by way of RNAcentral.
GAUUCCAUUGUGUAAUGGUUAUUUUAUUUGCAUAUAAACUAUAAGGCCCUGGGUUCAAUCCCCAGUGGAAUUA